Molecule: ribosomal RNA, 157 nt
Filed under: Symbiodinium sp. AF1102D
Lineage: Eukaryota; Dinophyceae; Suessiales; Symbiodiniaceae
Description: partial 5.8S ribosomal RNA
Rfam family: 5.8S ribosomal RNA
About the family: 5.8S ribosomal RNA (5.8S rRNA) is a component of the large subunit of the eukaryotic ribosome. It is transcribed by RNA polymerase I as part of the 45S precursor that also contains 18S and 28S rRNA. Functionally, it is thought that 5.8S rRNA may be involved in ribosome translocation.
Source: RNAcentral
ACAAUUUUCAGCGACGGAUAUCUUGGCUCGAGCACCUAUGAAGGGCGCAGCGAAGUGCGAUAAUCGUCGUGAAUUGCAGAACUCCGUGAACCAAUGGCCUCUUGAACGUGCAUUGCGCUCUUGGGAUAUGCCUGAGAGCAUGUCUGCUUCAGUGCUU